GACGAACGCUGGCGGCGUGCCUAAUACAUGCAAGUAGAACGCUGAAGGAGGAGCUUGCUCUUCUGGAUGAGUUGCGAACGGGUGAGUAACGCGUAGGUAACCUGCCUGGUAGCGGGGGAUAACUAUUGGAAACGAUAGCUAAUACCGCAUAAGAGUAGAUGUUGCAUGACAUUUGCUUAAAAGUUGCAAUUGCAUCACUACCAGAUGGACCUGCGUUGUAUUAGCUAGUUGGUGGGGUAACGGCUCACCAAGGCGACGAUACAUAGCCGACCUGAGAGGGUGAUCGGCCACACUGGGACUGAGACACGGCCCAGACUCCUACGGGAGGCAGCAGUAGGGAAUCUUCGGCAAUGGACGGAAGGCUGACCGAGCAACGCCGCGGGAGGGAAGAAGGGUUUCGGAUCGUAAAGCUCUGUUGUAAGAGAAGAAAGAGUGUGAGAGUGGAAAGUUCACACUGUGACGGUAUCUUACCAGAAAGGGACGGCUAACUACGUG
RNAcentral lists this ribosomal RNA (495 nucleotides) under uncultured bacterium. Its description in RNAcentral is "partial 16S ribosomal RNA". It matches the Rfam family "Bacterial small subunit ribosomal RNA", at positions 28 to 507 of the family's 1533-position model. The record is from RNAcentral.